CAAAAUCAAGGCCAGCUUUAGUCA
Molecule: non-coding RNA, 24 nt
Filed under: Mus musculus (house mouse)
Lineage: Eukaryota; Metazoa; Chordata; Mammalia; Rodentia; Muridae
Source: RNAcentral